Long non-coding RNA from Tupaia belangeri chinensis (Chinese tree shrew), 1309 nucleotides. RefSeq lists it as uncharacterized. The transcript is spliced from 3 exons. NCBI's taxonomy places the organism in Eukaryota, Metazoa, Chordata, Mammalia, Scandentia, Tupaiidae. The record is from RefSeq and is a predicted model, not a curated record.
GAGAGCACAGAGGAGGCCGCAGAGGCAGGAGCAACGCCCCAACCACGUGGCCUCCAGCUAGGCGCGGACCCACGGCCCUGCCACCCUGCAAGCCGGGCCUCUGCCGCCUUCACUGCAAAGGGUCUGGGCAUUCACUCUGCAGGGCUCUCGCUGCUGCUGAGAAAGGUCAGUCUGCAGAGGGCUGGGCCCCAGCCUGGGCCCCAGCUGCAGGGCAGGCCCGUCAGGAGCUCAGCGUCUGCUGCCGUAGGCAGUGGAACCCCCGGGCAGGAGAGUGCUCGCAGCGAUGGCCAUGCCAGACCCUCCUCAGUUCACAGAGGGCUUCUCCAGCCAAACCCCCGCAGCCUGGGAGGCGUCAGGCCGGGCUCAGCUCUCCUAGGCAGUGAAGCCAGAGGCGCCUUGGCUGGACCGAGGGGAAGCAGGCUGCUGUGUGCUGGGCUUAGGUCGGCAAUGUGCCCCCACCUCUGGGCCAGAGGUCUGCAACUGAGAUGUGGGAGCUGGGCUCCCCACCGCCCGCAGCCCCUGCAGAGUCUCAGCCAUUUCUUCUAAUGAGGCUCACCCCGCCUCGGACUCACCACUGGGGCACACUGGAGCGUGGACACCUGCGCUUUGCAGCUCCAAUGGCACCUCACUGGAAGCUCAGAGCAGACUCAGAGCGGACGUGAACCCCAAGGGGUGGAGAGAGCCCAAGGCCUGGCCUGAGAGCUCGCAGACAGCCGGACUCAGACCCCUGGCCCCACUCCUGCCAUGCUGGGCUUGGUCCCUGGACUGUUCUGCCCUGCUGCGAUUUCGGGGCAGGACGCCCACCGCCUAGCUGGGCAACAGGCUCUACUCAAGGGCCAGGGGAGGAAAGUCCUGCUCACAUCGCUCGCCGCCGGCCUGGGUGACAGACCCGGCCGUCCCUUCCAAGUCUCCUCCAGGACAAAGUCUCCAUUUUCCUCCCUUGAAAAACAGAGCGCUCAGCCCCUCCCUCCCUAGUUUCUGGACUUUGGAGUUGAAUCUCCAAGGACACGCCAGGUCCUCGGGUCCCACUGAGGAGGGUGGCUUUGGCCAGGUGUUCCGGCACCAUGCCCGAGUCAGGUGGAGCUGGGCAUGGUCUGUGCCCGCUGGGGAGGCCACGGAGUCUCCCAGCCUGGGGCCAGAGUCAAGGACAAGGCCCUCUGGCUGUCUGCACUGGCAUCUGGUCACCGGCUACCUUGGCCGCACGCAACACUCCCAGGCAGAGGCCUGGGCCCUGAGGAGCUGCGGGAGACAUCCUGCCACUGCUCGGCUCAGUGCCAUGUCUACUAUGGCAAAGAAAGAGAAAAAAAGG